GAAGGUGGCGCCCCUCCUCGCCCGGGCGGUGCUCGGCGGUCGUUGUCGCCGGUCUACUAGCUGCCAUCGAUUUAUGUUUCACGUUCUGUUAGUUAGGCCUAGGUUAGUUGCGCACCUGUUUUGUGUUAGUGGUUAGUGGGGAAGGAUAUUUAGGCUAGCUAGUUAGGUUUGUUGUUUGUGCGGGAUUGUUCGUUUGUUCAGGGUGUGUUUUGUUACGAGGUUCUGUGGUUUGCCUUUUGGAGUUACGUUAUUCGUUUUAGGCUGCGUCCCUGGUUACGUUCUUUUAGGGUGGUGCGUUUCUUUCUGCACACCUUGCACUCCAUACCUUUUUGCAUAUUUUCCGUGUGGAUAUUUUAUUAAAUUCAUUCACGGAAUCAUUCUGUCUCCUGCGCCGUUGUGACAAGUAUGGAGAUUGUUGUGGUUUUGGCAGGCUUUCCCUCCUUCUCUGAGCACUUCCUUUAUUUUAAAUUUUAAAUGUUUGGUCAUUUUGCAGAAGCUCUUAUCCAGAACAACUUACAUGCAUUUUCUUACUGCAAAUCAAACCCAUAACCCUGGUGUUGCAAGUGCCAUGCUCUACCAACUGAACCAACCGUCCUGUCGGUCUGUAGAGAUAGACAUUUCAAAUAAAGACAGACAGGAACCUUGGGCAAUGUGUGCAAGACUUGUUGAAGGGACUAGAGAGAUUGAACAACCGUGAAAAGAACCAGACUCAUGAGGGGAUGCCCAUUCUAUGGCUGGCAUAUGGCAUGAUUGCAUCACAGUCUAUUUGGGUUGUUGGGAAUUUUUUUUAAGCAUAAAGCUCAGUUGCUCACAUCGGGUGGCGGGUAUAUUACUUUUCAUGUAAUAGUGCAAUGGAAAUCUACCUGAUUACUUUACGAAAGGACUCAGUCAUGCCAUGAGUUUUGUGCCAGUGACAAAUCUAGGGUAAAUGACUUCCUGGGUGGAUUCUAGUCAGCACAACGGAUAUUGGGGAAAUUAAAGUUUCAUUUAAUGACAACAUCUUAGUCCUAGAUACACAAACGAUUACAUUACCCAAAAGUCUUAGCUGGACCAAUGAACAACAUUGACAAAACGUUAGCCGCCACGUCCCCCAAGUCCUCUCUUUACUAUAACACAUCUAUACAGAUGUCAUCUCUUCCUCUGCUUAUGGAAGUCAUCACUGAAUGGUUUGUUCGACGGAUUAAUAGAUGAGGUACUGCUUACAUGACAUAUUACUGCACUGUCGAACUACUCACACUGCCUACACCCCAGGAGUUAAGAUGUUUAAUCCACACACUUUGCCAUUUAAGACGUCGUAGGCCACCAGACCCAAGCCUUUUCAAGCUGGGAUCGAUUGGCAGAGCCACACAUAGAUCCAAAAUAGAAACUGUUUAUUUAAUCAUUGUCUGCUUGACCACAAUUGCAAACUUCCCAAACUGUAUGCAUAUAUUUUUUUAGGAACUAAGUCGGGCUUCAACCUACUCUUAAAUGUUGUAAUGGAAGAAUGCAAUUUUGUAAUUGGGUAGUGCAUCAUCAGUUCAUCUUGUCACUGCAGACCUCGAAUUGCAGGAAAUCAGCUUUAAACCUGCAAAAUGUUCUCUCCGCCAACAAGAGGGAUGUGAACAGUUUUUGUCAUCAACCAUAGAAAUAGACGUGGCACUCGGGCACCCCUUCCAUCCCCAAUGAAAAGGAAACCUCGUUCAACGAACAGCGGAGGGUUGCGGAAAAGUUGUACCGAGGACAGCUAAUGCCAAAGGUCUCCAGCUGGAGACACAUGUUCGUUCCCUGCCCACCACACUACCGGUCAGACUAUCCUCCAUGAGUUGCAUGUUCUUGGAGAUGAGAAUGGGAAACCCCAGUUUUAGAUAUGAGUUGAAGUCAGUCUAGUGAUGUGUAGCUAAUUGUCAUUGUUAGUGUUAUUAAUGCAUUAUAACAGCUUGACUAACACAAUGUGUUUUCAUUGAAAAGGAUUGUAAAUAAACUGUCUGUCAGUGUUUUGUUG
Molecule: long non-coding RNA, 1981 nt
Filed under: Salmo salar (Atlantic salmon)
Lineage: Eukaryota; Metazoa; Chordata; Actinopteri; Salmoniformes; Salmonidae
Description: lncRNA (ENSSSAG00000120243.1)
Source: RNAcentral